RNAcentral lists this ribosomal RNA (501 nucleotides) under uncultured bacterium. RNAcentral describes it as "partial 16S ribosomal RNA". It matches the Rfam family "Bacterial small subunit ribosomal RNA", at positions 30 to 523 of the family's 1533-position model. The record is from RNAcentral.
AUUGAACGCUGGCGGCAGGCUUAACACAUGCAAGUCGAGCGGGGGAAGGUAGCUUGCUACCGGACCUAGCGGCGGACGGGUGAGCAAUGCUUAGGAAUCUGCCUAUUAGUGGGGGACAACAUCUCGAAAGGGAUGCUAAUACCGCAUACGUCCUACGGGAGAAAGCAGGGGAUCUUCGGACCUUGCGCUAAUAGAUGAGCCUAAGUCGGAUUAGCUAGUUGGUAGGGUAAUGGCCUACCAAGCCUACGACGGGUAGGGGGCGUGAGAGCGCGUUCCCCCAGAAUGGUACUGAGACACGGCCCAGACUCCUACGGGAGGCAGCAGUGGGGAAUAUUGGACAAUGGGGGGAACCCUGAUCCAGCCAUGCUGCGUGUGUGAAGAAGGCCUUAUGGUUGUAAAGCACUUUAAGCGAGGAGGAGGCUACUCUAGUUAAUACCUAGGGAUAGUGGACGUUACUCGCAGAAUAAGCACCGGCUAACUCUGUGCCAGCAGCCGCCGUAA